This 1276-nucleotide ribosomal RNA is filed under the name Lacticaseibacillus paracasei. Its description in RNAcentral is "bacterial SSU rRNA". It matches the Rfam family "Bacterial small subunit ribosomal RNA", at positions 91 to 1354 of the family's 1533-position model. The record is from RNAcentral. Lineage: Bacteria; Bacillati; Bacillota; Bacilli; Lactobacillales; Lactobacillaceae.
ACGAGUGGCGGACGGGUGAGUAACACGUGGGUAACCUGCCCUUAAGUGGGGGAUAACAUUUGGAAACAGAUGCUAAUACCGCAUAGAUCCAAGAACCGCAUGGUUCUUGGCUGAAAGAUGGCGUAAGCUAUCGCUUUUGGAUGGACCCGCGGCGUAUUAGCUAGUUGGUGAGGUAACGGCUCACCAAGGCGAUGAUACGUAGCCGAACUGAGAGGUUGAUCGGCCACAUUGGGACUGAGACACGGCCCAAACUCCUACGGGAGGCAGCAGUAGGGAAUCUUCCACAAUGGACGCAAGUCUGAUGGAGCAACGCCGCGUGAGUGAAGAAGGCUUUCGGGUCGUAAAACUCUGUUGUUGGAGAAGAAUGGUCGGCAGAGUAACUGUUGUCGGCGUGACGGUAUCCAACCAGAAAGCCACGGCUAACUACGUGCCAGCAGCCGCGGUAAUACGUAGGUGGCAAGCGUUAUCCGGAUUUAUUGGGCGUAAAGCGAGCGCAGGCGGUUUUUUAAGUCUGAUGUGAAAGCCCUCGGCUUAACCGAGGAAGCGCAUCGGAAACUGGGAAACUUGAGUGCAGAAGAGGACAGUGGAACUCCAUGUGUAGCGGUGAAAUGCGUAGAUAUAUGGAAGAACACCAGUGGCGAAGGCGGCUGUCUGGUCUGUAACUGACGCUGAGGCUCGAAAGCAUGGGUAGCGAACAGGAUUAGAUACCCUGGUAGUCCAUGCCGUAAACGAUGAAUGCUAGGUGUUGGAGGGUUUCCGCCCUUCAGUGCCGCAGCUAACGCAUUAAGCAUUCCGCCUGGGGAGUACGACCGCAAGGUUGAAACUCAAAGGAAUUGACGGGGGCCCGCACAAGCGGUGGAGCAUGUGGUUUAAUUCGAAGCAACGCGAAGAACCUUACCAGGUCUUGACAUCUUUUGAUCACCUGAGAGAUCAGGUUUCCCCUUCGGGGGCAAAAUGACAGGUGGUGCAUGGUUGUCGUCAGCUCGUGUCGUGAGAUGUUGGGUUAAGUCCCGCAACGAGCGCAACCCUUAUGACUAGUUGCCAGCAUUUAGUUGGGCACUCUAGUAAGACUGCCGGUGACAAACCGGAGGAAGGUGGGGAUGACGUCAAAUCAUCAUGCCCCUUAUGACCUGGGCUACACACGUGCUACAAUGGAUGGUACAACGAGUUGCGAGACCGCGAGGUCAAGCUAAUCUCUUAAAGCCAUUCUCAGUUCGGACUGUAGGCUGCAACUCGCCUACACGAAGUCGGAAUCGCUAGUAAUCGCGGAUCAGCA